UGCUAGUUGUACGAGUUCACACUCGUAGCAAAUAGCUCCGUAACACGUGGCCAAACUACCCUACAGAGAACGAUAACCUCGGGAAACUGAGGCUAAUAGUUCAUACCCGUCUCACGCUGGAAUGCCGAGACGCCCAAACGCUCACGCGCUGGAGGACGUGGCUGCGGCCGAUUAGGUAGACGGUGGGGUAACGGCCCACCGUGCCGAUAAUCGGUACGGGUUGUGAGAGCAAGAACCCGGAGACGGAAUCUGAGACAAGAUUCCGGGCCCUACGGGGCGCAGCAGGCGCGAAACCUUUACACUGCACGCAAGUGCGAUAAGGGGACCCCGAGUGCGAGGGCAUACAGUCCUCGCUUUUCAGUACCGUAGGGAGGUACUGGAAUAAGAGCUGGGCAAGACCGGUGCCAGCCGCCGCGGUAAUACCGGCAGCUCGAGUGAUGGCCGAUUUUAUUGGGCCUAAAGCGUCCGUAGCCGGCCGAGCAAGUUCAUCGGGAAAUCCGCCAGCCCAACUGGCGGGCGUCCGGUGAAAACUGUUCGGCUUGGGACCGGAAGACCCGAAGGGUACGUCUUGGGUAGGAGUGAAAUCCCGUAAUCCUGGACGGACCGCCGAUGGCGAAAGCACUUCGGGAAGACGGAUCCGACGGUGAGGGACGAAAGCCAGGGUCUCGAACCGGAUUAGAUACCCGGGUAGUCCUGGCCGUAAACGAUGUCUGCUAGGUGUGACUCCCACUACGAGUGGGUGUUGUGCCGUAGGGAAGCCGCUAAGCAGACCGCCUGGGAAGUACGUCCGCAAGGAUGAAACUUAAAGGAAUUGGCGGGGGAGCACUACAACCGGAGGAGCCUGCGGUUUAAUUGGACUCAACGCCGGACAUCUCACCAGCAUCGACAGCAGCAAUGACGACCAGGUUGAUGACCUUGUCAGAGCUGCUGAGAGGAGGUGCAUGGCCGCCGUCAGCUCGUACCGUGAGGCGUCCUGUUAAGUCAGGCAACGAGCGAGACCCGCACUCCUAAUUGCCAGCACCGGGUUCGCCCGGGUGGGUACAUUAGGAGGACUGCCGUGGCCAA
Molecule: ribosomal RNA, 1065 nt
Filed under: Haloplanus sp. GoD4
Lineage: Archaea; Methanobacteriati; Methanobacteriota; Halobacteria; Halobacteriales; Haloferacaceae
Description: bacterial SSU rRNA
Rfam family: Archaeal small subunit ribosomal RNA
Source: RNAcentral